This 665-nucleotide ribosomal RNA is filed under the name uncultured fungus. RNAcentral describes it as "eukaryotic LSU rRNA". It matches the Rfam family "Eukaryotic large subunit ribosomal RNA", at positions 23 to 673 of the family's 3401-position model. The record is from RNAcentral. Lineage: Eukaryota; Fungi.
ACCCGCUGAACUUAAGCAUAUCAAUAAGCGGAGGAAAAGAAACUAACAAGGAUUCCCCUAGUAACGGCGAGCGAAGCGGGAAGAGCUCAAAUUUGAAAGCUGGCACCUCCGGUGUCCGCGUUGUAAUCUCGAGACGUGUUUUCCGUGCGGCUCUAUGGACAAGUCCCUUGGAAUAGGGCAUCGUAGAGGGUGAGAAUCCCGUACUUGCCAUGGAAGAACCGUGCUUUGCGAUACACGCUCUAAGAGUCGAGUUGUUUGGGAUUGCAGCUCAAAAUGGGUGGUAGACUCCAUCUAAAGCUAAAUAUCGGGGAGAGACCGAUAGCGAACAAGUACCGUGAGGGAAAGAUGAAAAGCACUUUGGAAAGAGAGUUAAAAGUACGUGAAAUUGUCGAAAGGGAAGCACUUGAAGUCAGCCAUGCUGCUUGAGACUCAGCCUGGCCUUUGGGCUUGGUGUAUUUCUCGGUGGCAAGCCAGCAUUGGUUUGGGUCGUCGGAGAAGCGCAUAGGGAAUGUAGCGUUUCCGGACGUGUUAUAGCCUUAUGCAGGAUACGACGACCUGGAUCAAGGAACGCAGUGUGCCCUCUGGGCGGGUCUUCGGACACCUUCACACUUAGGAUGCUGGCGUAAUGGCUUUAAGUGGCCCGUCUUGAAACACGGACCAAGGAG